CAAUUAUUUUUACAAUACAUUAUUAGAUGAGUCCAUAGUCAUUAAUAAUACAAAUUAAUAAGAAGAAAAAUAGUUUACAACAUAUUGCAACUAAUUUUAAAAUAACACAAAUUACAACAAUAAUAUAAUUCAAAUAAAAUUAAUUAGUUCAAUAAAAUAAUAAAUCAAUUAUAGGAUAGUUCUUGCAUAAGGCUUGAAAUUUGAAGUGAGGAAACAAGUCAGAUUUUUGCAUCCAUGCAAACUUUAAGAUUUGCCACAACAAAAUAUCAAUAUUAGCAAUAUCAAAAUAUAAUAUCAUAGCAAAAAUAGCAAAAUAAAAA
This 320-nucleotide unclassified non-coding RNA is filed under the name Hevea brasiliensis (rubber tree). The record is from RNAcentral. Lineage: Eukaryota; Viridiplantae; Streptophyta; Magnoliopsida; Malpighiales; Euphorbiaceae.